GCAUUUGUGGUUCACUGGUGGAAUUUUCGUCUUCCAUGCAGUAGAUCUGGGUUUGAUUCCCAGCCAAUGCA
This 71-nucleotide transfer RNA is filed under the name Loxodonta africana (African savanna elephant). It matches the Rfam family "tRNA". From Rfam's summary of the family: Transfer RNA (tRNA) molecules are approximately 80 nucleotides in length. Lineage: Eukaryota; Metazoa; Chordata; Mammalia; Proboscidea; Elephantidae. The record is from Rfam by way of RNAcentral.